This is a long non-coding RNA of Pezoporus occidentalis (night parrot), 254 nucleotides long. RefSeq lists it as uncharacterized. The record is from RefSeq and is a predicted model, not a curated record. The transcript is spliced from 2 exons. NCBI's taxonomy places the organism in Eukaryota, Metazoa, Chordata, Aves, Psittaciformes, Psittacidae.
GACACAUGAGGACGUCUCACACGAUAGAAUUCAGUCAGAUUGAGAGCCACAAGCCCUGAAAAGGCUUGUGUAUGCAUUAGCCCAUGUAGACUGUCAGUGACCCCGGGCAGGGCAUAUCUUUGGGUUUCUGUUACAGGCUGCCCUCGUGGCCAGGGGUGAUCUGUGAAAGUGUUGCUUGGGUGCUCUAAGUUAGCUAAUCUCAAGAUCACUUUUAGGUGAGCGCUCAUUCAAAAAUAAUGGUAUAUAACCUCUUA